AUGUCAGGGGAGCUGCCAUCAGCUCUGAGCAACUGCACAAAUCUCAUAACAGUUGACCUCAAGGCAAACCAAUUCAGCGGAGAACUUACCAAAGUCAACUUUGUAAGCCUGUCCAAGCUAAGAAAAUUAGAUCUUCUUUUCAACGACUUCACUGGCACAAUUCCGGAAAGCAUAUACUCCUGCAGCAAGCUGACUGCACUAAGGCUAUCUUACAAUCAUUUCCAUGGCCAAUUGUCAGAAAAGAUAGGCAAUCUGAAGUCUCUCUGCUUUCUAUCACUUGUUAACCUAUCCCUUACAAAUAUCACGAGAACACUUCAGAUCCUUGAGAGUUCCAGGAGCCUCACCACCCUUUUUAUUGGGUUCAACUUCCUGCAUGAGACCAUGCCAGAGGAUGACAGCAUUGAUGGUUUUGAGAAUCUUCAAGUUCUUUCUAUGAGUUAUUGUUCAAUGUCUGGGACAAUACCUGAUUGGUUAUCAAAGCUCACAAAUUUGGGGAUGUUAUUUUUGCAAGGCAAUCAACUAACUGGACCAAUACCUGACUGGAUUAGCACCCUAAACUUUCUCUUCCAUCUAGACAUAUCAAACAACAGUUUUACAGGGGAAAUUUCAACUGCCUUAGCGGAGAUGCCAAUGCUAAAAUCAUAUAAGAUUGCAGCAAAGGCCAUCUUUGAGCUGCCUGUUUAUGCUUUCAGUCCAUUUAUCCAAUACCUCCAACCCGGUGCUUGUCCGGAAGUGCUUAAUCUAGCCAUCAAUAAAUUGACUGGUGUGAUCCCAGGGGAGAUCGGUCAACUAAGAGCACUCUUUUCACUUAAUUUGAGCUCCAACAAAUUAUCAGGAGAGAUCCCAGAACCAAUCUGCACCCUCACGAAUCUGCAGAUGCUCGACUUGUCCAGCAAUCAUCUUACUGGUACAAUUCCGGCCGCACUAAACAAUCUGCACUUUCUUUCCAAAUUCAACAUUUCUAAUAAUGACCUCGAAGGCCCUAUUCCAACUGCGGGCCAGCUUAGCACGUUUCCAGAUUCUAGCUUUGAUGGAAACCCAAAAUUGUGUGGUCCUAUGAUUGUAAACCAUUGUGAUUCAGCAGAAGCGGGUCCAGAGUCCAUCAACACCAGCAAAGAGAUUGGCAGUAAAGUCAUCUUUGCAAUCGCCUUUGGUGCUUUCUUUGCAGUAGGAGUCCUAUAUGAUCAGAUGAUCUUAGCCAGAUAUUUUGGCUAA
Molecule: ribosomal RNA, 1215 nt
Filed under: Triticum aestivum (bread wheat)
Lineage: Eukaryota; Viridiplantae; Streptophyta; Magnoliopsida; Poales; Poaceae
Description: partial small subunit ribosomal RNA
Source: RNAcentral